This 337-nucleotide unclassified non-coding RNA is filed under the name soil metagenome. Its description in RNAcentral is "partial contains 5.8S ribosomal RNA, internal transcribed spacer 2, and large subunit ribosomal RNA". The stretch from base 1 to 120 matches the Rfam family "5.8S ribosomal RNA", at positions 35 to 154 of the family's 154-position model. The record is from RNAcentral.
GAUGAAGAACGCAGCGAAAUGCGAUAAGUAAUGUGAAUUGCAGAAUUCAGUGAAUCAUCGAAUCUUUGAACGCACAUUGCGCCCGCCAGUAUUCUGGCGGGCAUGCCUGUCUGAGCGUCAUUUCAACCCUCAAGCAACUUCUGCUUGGUGUUGGGGAUCGGCCGUCAAACGCCGCCCCCGAAAUCUAUUGGCGAUCUCGCUGUAGCUUCCUAUGCGUAGUAGUAACAUCUCGCAUCUGGAGAGCGGCGCGGUCAUGCCGUAAAACACCCAACUUCUCAGGUUGACCUCGGAUCAGGUAGGAAUACCCGCUGAACUUAAGCAUAUCAAAAGCGGAGGA